GAUGUGUCAUUCGAUUUUUGUAUCUUUUCUGUCUUCUUUUUUAUGGCUGCCAUGACAACAAAAGUAUCUGUAUCUUUGUGUGGCUGUGGCUGUAACAGUGUCCAUGAUGUUGAGGCAUUUAUGACUUGCCAUAUACAUUUUUUUUUGGGGCCACCUAUCCGAGUGUGUGUGUGUGUGUAGGAAGCCAUAAAUUGUGGCAUAUACUUAGAGAUACUUUCUCACAUCUGUGUCUGGAUGUUUGCUCAUUGUCUUGCCAUUGACAAUAGCCGAAUCGGAAUCCGAAUCCGAAUCCGAGUCCGAAUCGAUAAGGAAACCCUAGAGGAACGAACGCACACGGAUGAGUAAUGAUUGCAGGCUAGGCCUUCCACUUAAUGGUGGUUCCUCUCCUGCCUGCGGGGCAGCUUAAACAGAUCCCAGCCGAUCCAGUACAAUCCCCAGCUAAGCUGCCUGCCGCCUGCCGCCUGCCGCCUGUUGUGCCACAAGAGGC
Molecule: long non-coding RNA, 487 nt
Filed under: Drosophila guanche
Lineage: Eukaryota; Metazoa; Arthropoda; Insecta; Diptera; Drosophilidae
Source: RNAcentral